UAAUCGCGCCUGAUAUUCAGGUGAGGAAAGUCCGUGCAUUCAAGGACAGGUUGCCGGAGAAACUCCGGACGGCGUGAGCCGGUGGAAAGUGCCACAGAAAUGAAGACUGCCUGAUGAUUUAAUCAAAGGCGAUGGUGCAACGGUGAGUUAAGAGCUUCACCAGCGAUACUGAGAGGUAUCGGCUAGGUAAACCCCAAUCGAAUGCAAGAUUAAAUUGAAGGAUAUAAAGGUUGUCCGCCCACUUCAGAAAAAUCGCUAGAGAUUGAAAGUAAUUUCAAUACCAGACAGAUGAUUAUUUAGAAACAGAACACGGCUUAUGAGUUACUU
This 327-nucleotide RNase P RNA is filed under the name human gut metagenome. Its description in RNAcentral is "Bacterial RNase P class A". It matches the Rfam family "Bacterial RNase P class A". From Rfam's summary of the family: Ribonuclease P (RNase P) is a ubiquitous endoribonuclease, found in archaea, bacteria and eukarya as well as chloroplasts and mitochondria. Its best characterised activity is the generation of mature 5'-ends of tRNAs by cleaving the 5'-leader elements of precursor-tRNAs. Cellular RNase Ps are ribonucleoproteins. The record is from RNAcentral.